This 253-nucleotide ribosomal RNA is filed under the name uncultured bacterium. Its description in RNAcentral is "partial 16S ribosomal RNA". It matches the Rfam family "Bacterial small subunit ribosomal RNA", at positions 524 to 776 of the family's 1533-position model. The record is from RNAcentral.
UACAGAGGGUGCAAGCGUUAAUCGGAGUUACUGGGCGUAAAGCGCGCGUAGGCGGCUUUGCAAGUCGGGUGUGAAAUCCCCAGGCUUAACCUGGGAACUGCAUUCGAGACUGCAUUGCUAGAGUAUGGGAGAGGGAAGUGGAAUUUCAGGUGUAGCGGUGAAAUGCGUAGAUAUCUGAAGGAACAUCAGUGGCGAAAGCGACUUCCUGGACCAAUACUGACGCUCAUGUGCGAAAGCGUGGGGAGCAAACAGG